AGCCAUACCACCCUGAACACGCCCGAUCUCAUCUGAUCUCAAAAGCUACGCAGGGUCGGGCCUGGUUAGUACUUGGAUGGAAGAAUGGAUGUUCAAUUUC
This 100-nucleotide ribosomal RNA is filed under the name Chinchilla lanigera (long-tailed chinchilla). The record is from RNAcentral. Lineage: Eukaryota; Metazoa; Chordata; Mammalia; Rodentia; Chinchillidae.